Molecule: long non-coding RNA, 2883 nt
Organism: Phyllostomus discolor (pale spear-nosed bat)
Lineage: Eukaryota; Metazoa; Chordata; Mammalia; Chiroptera; Phyllostomidae
Exons: 2
Source: RefSeq, a predicted model, not a curated record
GUCAAUUCACCCCCUCUAUUCUACUUCUCCCCACCCACUGUUCACUCACCCCAAAUAUCCUGCUUAAGAAACUCUUGCUUUCAGAAUCUCUGGGCCUGGUGUCCUGAGAUGGUAGGCCAUUCCCAAGAGCAGAAGUCUCCCUCCCUCACUCCCUUCCUUCCUUCCAUUCUUCACCAAAUUCAACUCAUAUUUCCUGAGUUCCUUCUCUGUGUCAAGAGUUGGAGAGAGAAUUUUCUUCUCGUUCUGUUUGAAGCUUUGAAAGAUGAAUCCAGCCAGAAACCAGAAAUGGAACCACUGGGCUGGAACUGUGUGCCACUGGGGCAGCAGCAGAGGGCUGGCGUGUGAGCAGAUGGGCAGAAACGGACUCGGCUGGAUCCUGAAGUAGGCGCACAUACAGAGGGGCCAGCUUAGCUGAGCUGCCCAGAAAGAAAUGGAGCAAAGGAAGCAGAACAAGCCUCUCUCAUGUUGCACGCCCUCUAAAUGUCACUCUCCCUUCUGUUCCCUGUGGCCUGGGGCUGUCUAAAAUACUCAGGCAGUGGUGCUGACUCGAAAGCUUUGGCCCUGGAGAAGGCGAGAGACUGAGCUUGGAGAGUAGAGGGCAUCUUGAAUCCCCACUGAAGGAGGCAGGAGGAGAAUUCAGAAAGGCAGGGAGUGUGACUGUGUUUGCUUUCCAGAAUGAACAAAAAACUCUGCUGGGGUGACUUCUGGUUCUCUCUCUGAAGAGAACUUGACUUUUCAAUGCCUUGGUUGCUUUUUCUCCACCAGGGAGGAGCUUAAACUGCAAAGUGUGUUACCUCACUGCAAGUAGGAGGGAGGAUGUGCCAGGGGAGGCUCUUUAACACAGAGCAGUGGGGCAGGAUGAGUCCCAAAGGCCAGGCCGCCAUCGGUGAGUGCCCUGCAGGCUGAUGGGUGUGCUGGGGGAGCCACCAGCUAAGAUGGAGGCUCAGAGGUGACAGCUCUCUGGAAAGGAGACUGGAGCCAUGAAGUUGAGUUGGGGGCAUAGGUUUCUCACUCAAAUAUUUAUCUUGUAUUAUCGAGUGGACUUUUGUGGGUACUGGCUCCCUAAUUUGACCUUGGGUGCUUAGAAAACAUCAUCUACUUAUAUGUCACCCAGAGAAUCCAUUCCAGAGGUGACUAAACCCAUGAAGGGGUCACAGUCAGUACAUGAGUUUUGAUUAAUUGCUGGAGAAUGGGGGAGGUGUUAUGGCGUGGAACAAAAUCUAGGUCUGCAGCAUGCAGCCAGGCCUGACAAAACUGCCUCUCAUAACCUUCCUCAGGACAGCUGAGCCCUCCCAUGGGCAGGGAUCGCCCCUCAGGCCACCUGGGCACACAGAACAAAUUGCCAGAAGGAGACUUGAAAUCCAGAUUAAGUGCAUUUUUUGAUGAGACGGAAGAAAUGAGGAGGAGGAAAGGCCCUGGCAGGCAUCUUUGGGUUUACAGAGGGCACCAAAAAAAUGUCAUUUGAGGAAUGGGGAAAGGAGACAAAGAGGUUAGUGUGCCAGGAAGCCAGGGAGUAAUCAGGCCAGGAAACAGAAUAGGAGGGAAAGAGGGCCACAAAGAAAGGAGGAGGUGGGAGAACAAAGGUGAGGAGGUGAUGCAGCUCACUCAAUGUGAGGGUGACCCGGGUGGAAGGAAGGCUGCCAGGCCCCUGCUCAGAAUUUCUCCUGACACUGAGAGUUGUCCUCAGGUGCUGGCAGAAUGUAACACCCUGUGUCAGAGGGCUCCAGGGCAGCCUCUCAGACAGACUGUCCUGCACGGAAGAAAGGACAGGCCCCCUUCUGGCUCCCUUAGUGGGAGUCAGCCUCCACCUGCCACUGGCCCCUCACUCACACGGACAGCUGCCAAACACCCUUUGCAGAGGAGCAGCAGCACUGGGAAUUCUGAAGAAAGAUGUGGAGAGACGUUGCUUCUGUCCAUACUGUUUCAUUCUUUGGGAACCCUAAAUGGACUGGCAGGGACAGCCCACAAGACUAGUGCAGGGCAUACGCCAGGCCAAGUAGACCAGGCCUGGGCUGACAGCCCAGAGUUCAUUUGUUCACUCAACAAACAUUUGCUGAGUGUCUGCUAGAAUAGAGCAAACAAGACAAGGUGCUGUCUCUCAGAUUCUAGUUCACCUAGUCAUGGGUGACGGACCAAUGAACAGUAAGAUACUUUGUAGGUGUGUUAAGCAAGCCCCUUGGUUUGUUUUGUUGUUGUUCUGUUUUUUCGUCUUUGCUGCUCAACCAGAUUGAGGACACCUGGGACCAGGUCUUCUCCAUGCUGAUGGCAACAAUGCAGAACAGAAACACAGUCUUUUGGGGUAAAAGGGAGAGGAAGGCUUCCAAGGGUGGACUCCUCCAGAAAGAAAGACAGCAGCCUCCUUACUGGUAUUCCUUCCAUCAGUGUGUCCCCCUAACUCACCCUCCUACACUCCGAGAGGAGCCUUUAAACAUGCUCAUCUCAUCCUGUGAUUCCCGGCUUUAAAAGUUUUGAUGAUAAAUCUGCUGGGAUAUUUUUGACUCUCUCUCUCCCUUUUUUAAAAAAAAGAUUUUGUUUGUUUGUUUGUUUGUUUGUUUAUGAGAGAGGGGAAGGGAAGGAGAAAGAGAGGGAGAGCAAUACCAAUUGGUUGCCUCUCACACAUGCGGGUGACCUUUUCGUUUGUAGGACAGUGCCCAACCCACUGAGCCACACCAGCCAGGGCUGCUUUUGACUCUUAAGAAAUAGAAAGCUGCCAGAGAGGAUGUGGGGGACCAAGGGAAGCUUAAAGAACCUAAGGGCUGCGAGCACAGUUUUUAUAUUCAGCCUGAGUUCAUGUUCUACCUCUACCACUUCUAAGUCAUGUGAAAGGCCAAGCCACUCAACCUUUUGUGAGACUUCCUCAUUUGUAAAAUGAUAAACAAACAA